RNAcentral lists this long non-coding RNA (213 nucleotides) under Musa acuminata (dwarf banana). RNAcentral's name for it is "long non-coding RNA (MACU_LNC011743)". The record is from RNAcentral. Lineage: Eukaryota; Viridiplantae; Streptophyta; Magnoliopsida; Zingiberales; Musaceae.
UUUUGAAUUGUGAUCGUAGGCGCCCGCAGGAGAAACUAUUGUUGUAGGACCAAGAGAUAAUUGCAUAUUUCUUCCUUCUCCCUCUUAACAAUCAUGAGGCCAUGCUGAGAAUUAAAUGGUUGAUGACAUUAGGUGAUAUUUCCUAGAAUUUUAUGAAACUAAUUAUGAAAUUUUACAGUAAGGAGAAAUAGGUGACAUUGCACGGGAAACGUG